This 434-nucleotide long non-coding RNA is filed under the name Anthonomus grandis grandis. RNAcentral's name for it is "uncharacterized LOC126749298". Lineage: Eukaryota; Metazoa; Arthropoda; Insecta; Coleoptera; Curculionidae. The record is from RNAcentral.
UUGUGCAAAUGUCGUGAAAUAUUGAAAAUUCGCCAGGAUAAUAAAUUAACUUAUUGUGAUGUUGUGGUUCCAAAAGAAGUCAAUGAAUUCCAGAAAUAUCACACAGAUUGUUAUAGACGUUUUACCGCCUUGCCGCAAAAGUACAGAGUGUCUGCAUCUAAACCAGAAGUUGCAUCAACUUCAACAUCACAACAACAUGCUGAAAAUCAGAGCGAUAAUACUGAUGAAGUUGCGGCAACUGAACCUACCGUACAUACUCAUUCUGACUCUUGUACAACACAAUCAGCAGCUGGUUCAGCCGAGCAACACCAUGCUGAAAAUCAAAGUGAUGACAUUGAGAUGGAAAGACUUACAGUUUCUACAGCACAAUCAGCAGCUAAUUCAACAGAGCAGUAUGUAUAUCAAUAUCGAUGAAUGUUUUCGUAUAAGUUUAU